This 349-nucleotide ribosomal RNA is filed under the name uncultured Pseudomonas sp. RNAcentral describes it as "bacterial SSU rRNA". It matches the Rfam family "Bacterial small subunit ribosomal RNA", at positions 1049 to 1397 of the family's 1533-position model. The record is from RNAcentral. Lineage: Bacteria; Pseudomonadati; Pseudomonadota; Gammaproteobacteria; Pseudomonadales; Pseudomonadaceae.
CUGUNNNCAGCUCGUGUCGUGAGAUGUUGGGUUAAGUCCCGUAACGAGCGCAACCCUUGUCCUUAGUUACCAGCACGUUAUGGUGGGCACUCUAAGGAGACUGCCGGUGACAAACCGGAGGAAGGUGGGGAUGACGUCAAGUCAUCAUGGCCCUUACGGCCUGGGCUACACACGUGCUACAAUGGUCGGUACAGAGGGUUGCCAAGCCGCGAGGUGGAGCUAAUCCCACAAAACCGAUCGUAGUCCGGAUCGCAGUCUGCAACUCGACUGCGUGAAGUCGGAAUCGCUAGUAAUCGCGAAUCAGAAUGUCGCGGUGAAUACGUUCCCGGGCCUUGUACACACCGCCCGU